AUUUUCCCGUGGUUAUGCUGGUCUGUUUCAGUUUGGUGUUUGUAGAGGGUGAAUCUAGAGCAGUGGUCAUGUUGAGACUGCUUCGUUACUGGUUUCUAUUGGCUGGGAUGUGAUGUAUUUGCUUAAAGGUGCUCGGGUCCUUGGUUUUCAAUUCUAGUGCUCUUUUCUGUAUUACGGUAGGAGAUUCUCUUGGUGACUUUUCCAGCUGAUAGCUUCAAGUGGGAGUUGAUGAGGAGGGAGAGAGUAAUGCUGGUCUUUAAAUCAUCAUCUGUGAGGGCAUUUGGAGUGGGCGUCUUAGAAUGCAGAGAUUUGAUGAUUUCCAUCCGGACGAAGUGUGUAUUUGGCGUCUGUACGGAUACAGGUUAGUGAACCGCACGAGAAUAAGCGUCCUUUUUUUAGUCUGCACAUGGACAUGGCUGAUAGAAAGCAUGGGAGCUGGAAUUUGAUCACAAGCUGUGAAGUGCAUAGGUCAUGUGGGAGACCUAUGGCCGAAGUUGAGAGGAGCGUGUCUGUAUUUUUUGGAUGUCGUGUAGAGGACGCUUCGGUGACACUUAGCUCAAGUGGUUGGGAGGAGAUGGUGUGUGAGAGUUAGAGAGAGAGAGAGAGAGAGAGAGAGAGAGAGCGAGAAAGAGAUAUCUUUACAGAGUCUGAUGGUGAUCGCUUUUCGAUCUAUUCAGUCUGCUCACAUGUAAAAUGGAAUCGUGGACUUUGUUGUAAAGGUUGGAGUGACCGGAAGUUCUAUUUGUCUUCUGGAUUUCAUGUUUUAUUUUUCACUUCGAGUAGGAUAGAUGCAUCUUUCAUUUGUGUACCAUGUUUGACUAGCGUCAGAUCUUUGCUGCUUCAUACGUUGGAUACUAAAACGGCAUGGAGGGUGUUGUGGAAAAUGGAGUGAGUCGGACAGUGGAUUCUGUCAAGCUUUUCGUGGGGCAGCUGCCUAAGCAGAUGUCUGAGCAGCAGUUAGUGGAGGUCUUUUCAGAAGCAGGAACUGUUCAUGAGAUUAACAUUAUCAAGGACAAGCUUACUAAGCAGUCCCGAGGCUGCUGUUUCCUCACGUACACCACCAGGCAGGAGGCUGAUAAAGCUAUUGAGAUCUUCCACAAUAAACGCACUCUUCAGCCAGUAGCCAGUCCCUUGCAAGUGAAGUAUGCUGAUGGCGAGAUGGAACGAUUAGAACACAAGCUUUUUAUUGGGAUGCUUCCUAAAGGAGCAUCUAAAGCAGAUGUGAUGGCAGUGUUUUCGCCAUAUGGAUCCAUCAAAGAACUAUCUGUCAUCAAAGGCUCCCAGCCAACCAGCAAAGGAUGCGCUUUUUUAAAAUAUGAAACUAAGGAACAAGCUAUUGCUGCUAUUGAAGCUCUUAAUGGAGUCCACAGAAUGGAGGGCUCACCAUCUGCGUUGGUGGUUAAGUGGGCCGACACUGAGAAAGAAAGGCAGGCGCGUAAAGUGCAGAAGGCUCAAUCAGUUUCUUCCCCUCCUAUACCCGGUCAGCAACCAUCUAUUUUUGGUGCUGUACCAAUGGGCUAUGUAACGGCUCCUCCCCCUUACAAUGGUUACCCUUACCAGCCAAUUAGCAACUAUGCUAUCGCAUACCCGCAACAGCCUGGAAUGGUCGGCUUACCAACUGCUAUUCCAGGUUCUCAAUCAGACCUUACAGCAUAUGCUCCUAUGCAACCGGCAACAUAUCCUUUUGCUGGACAGCAAUACCCAGUUCCUUAUCAAGGCCAAAUUAUAGGACAUCAAGGCCAGUCGUAUCCCUCUCCUCUGCCUCCCUCUCUUAUUGGGAUGAAUACCGCGCAAGUAGCUGCUGCCGCUGUUAGGACUAGUGUGGGCCCCCAGACCGAAGGUCCAGCGGGCGCUAAUUUAUUUAUUUAUCACAUACCACCCGAAUUUGGUGAUCAGGAGCUAUCUACCGCCUUUUCAUCUUUUGGAAAUGUCAUUAGUGCCAAAGUUUUUGUAGACAAGACAACUGGAGCCAGCAAAUGCUUUGGAUUUGUUAGUUACGACACUCCUGAAGCAGCUCAGGCCGCUAUAAAUGUAAUGAAUGGAUUCCAGCUGAGUGGGAAAAGGUUGAAGGUUCAGCUCAAGCGCGAUACCAAACAAAGAAAACCGUACUGAAAAAUACUGAGAAACAGGGGCUGUCUGCCACAAUGAGUAGGGAUGCACAUUAGACAGUGCAUGCGGGGAAAUAGUUGGGCUGGGACUCUAAUUGAACCGCUGAGCGGGCGCCAACACCAAUCAUAUUUGCAGGACGACGUUUGUCUUAAGUCCUCUCAGCCUUGACUGUCCUCGAGGGUCUCUUCUGGAGGUAAAAUCUGGGGCCUGCAGAAAUAAUCAAAUCGUUUCCAAUCUUUUUGUCAUCAGGACGCAUACGCUGUCACACAUCCUCUGCACGUGGACCUUGGUGUGAGGGAAGGUAGCUCUGCUGCUGCUGCUGCUGCCGCUCAUUUUACUGGAAAUCAACGAACUUUUCAUCGAGGUUAUUGAAGCAUAAUGUCGGGUGUCAGCAAGAGGUGAAGGUGGGUUCUUUCUUUUACCCCAGUAUUGGUUUGAUAUGAAAUUAGAUCUUUGUUUGACGAGAGAAUACAUGAGAAUUACCUAUUGUCCAUAAGAAGGGUUAGUUGGUGCUUUUCUAUUCCUCAACUUUUCUACCCUGUCCUGCAUUUCAUUGGAGUUGAACAUCUUGAGGGCUUUGUUAAUUACUGGGGGUGAUUACAGUCUUGAUAAUUACAGUCUUUCUUUUACUUAUUUUAAUCAUCCUCGUUCAAAUCUGAUUUCUGGAUUAGGCACUGUUUCCUCAUGUUUGAUUGUUUGCAAGUAGAGUCCCUGCUUUGGUUGUAGUCACAUUCAUUACAUUUCCCUGCCUUAUCGGGAAACCAGAAAGAUUCCUUAAGGUUAUGUUUAAGCUUGGUAUGUGUUAUCUAAUAUAUUUACGUAAGAAAAAUCUGAUACUGGUUAGCCGCACAAUGCAGUGCAAUUUGUUUUUCCUUCGGAUCCUUUUUCAAUAUAUAGAUCUUCAAAGCCCUUUCCAGACUAUGUUCUGGUUGCAUGACAGCGUGUGUUACAUCACCUGUCGAACUGACAACUCGUGUCCCCAAAAGUAAAAGGUCAAUCGUAUUGACCUGCUUUGCUUUGGACCAAUGGUUUCCAGUUGACAGAGAUCAUACUUCAAUUCCUACCGGCCAUUAGUGUCGCAACCGUCUGAACAAUAUAAUAUAGCGUUCGAGUACAUCAUGAUAAACAUGAUUGAAAUUCACUGA
Molecule: non-coding RNA, 3254 nt
Organism: Physcomitrium patens
Lineage: Eukaryota; Viridiplantae; Streptophyta; Bryopsida; Funariales; Funariaceae
Source: RefSeq, a predicted model, not a curated record